Pyrus x bretschneideri (Chinese white pear) is the source of this 1162-nucleotide long non-coding RNA. RefSeq lists it as uncharacterized. NCBI's taxonomy places the organism in Eukaryota, Viridiplantae, Streptophyta, Magnoliopsida, Rosales, Rosaceae. The record is from RefSeq and is a predicted model, not a curated record. The transcript has 2 exons.
CAGGGAUGGAGCUUUCUCAUCAGUCUCUACAGCUGCACUCCCUCAGAUAAUCAAUUAUUUUCAUUUAUAUUAUACAGGGCUCGUCUGUUGCUGUUCGAGAUUUUGCGAUGAACGAAUUAAAAAAGGAUGUAUCUGGAGAGAUGUCUUCAACUACAAAGCUUUUUGGAAUGGAAGGGAUAGGAAAGAAAAAGAUUUCAGGUAUAUCAUUCAAGGAUUUUUGCUAUUCGUUUUGUAUUAUUUUCUUUUCCUAAAGAUUUCUGUAUUUCUACAUUACGUCUUAUAGUUUUAGACUUUCAGGACCUGAAUUGAAUGCCGAAAUUCGAAACUUGUGAGAAUGUUGAAUAACUACUUACUACUUGUAUUUGAUUAUCUCGGAUAUAAUUUGUGUCUCAAUAGAAAAUCAAAACUCGUGGAAUGUUGAUUAAGUAUGUUACUUACCAUUUGUGUUUAAUUAUUUAGGAGAUAAUUAAUGUCUCAUUCGAAAUUCGGAACUUGAGUGAAUGUUGAUCAACUAUGUUAGUCACCAUUUGUGUUUAAUUAUCUAGGAGAUAAUUUAUGUCUCAUUCGAAAUUUGAAACUUGUGUAAAUGUUAUCAACUAUGUUUGUAAGCACUUUGUUUAAUUAUCUAGGAGAUCAUUUCUCAUUCAGACAGUAAACGUUUUGAAGAUUAUUUCACAAAUAUAAAAGAUAUCUUGGAGAAGCUUCUGUCUGAACUUAUUUAUUGGUGGAAACCGAGCCUAGAAAUAACAUUUUUCAUCCCCAUUUUGGAGCUAGCUUGCUAGAAACUGGAAAAUGUGAUAAUUUUGAGCAUCUCUAAAUAUCUCUUUCUUUUUCUUUUCAUAGGAUAAUUCUGGUUUGUUUAAAAACCUUUUACAAGAACUGAUGCAGAAGGAAAGCUUGUCUGGUGUACCUCACAUGCCAGUUUUUGUUUCAUUAGUGGAAAUAGAAGGAGAAACUUUUAUGGGUCAAGAAGCAAUAUACAAAAAGUGUAAGUGUAUUUUACUAGCUGCAAAUUAGUGUCAGCGGCUGAGUAUUUAUAUUCUUUUUAAUUUAUUACUUUGUUUUUCUAUGUAAAUUUGAGUGUAAUGAUGUAAAAACUAUAAGCUCUUUAUAAAUAUAGUUUAGUAUGAAUAAUAAUUAGUCAUGAUGUACCCUAUUGGGA